Molecule: ribosomal RNA, 291 nt
Filed under: uncultured bacterium
Lineage: Bacteria
Description: partial 16S ribosomal RNA
Rfam family: Archaeal small subunit ribosomal RNA
Source: RNAcentral
GUGCCAGCGCCGCGGUAACACCGGCAGCCCGAGUGGUGACCACUUUUAUUGGGCUUAAAGCGUCCGUAGCCGGGCUCACAAGCCCCUGGUUAAAUUCUACGGCCUAACCGUAGAUUUGCUGGGGGAACUGUAAGCCUUGGGGCCGGAAGAGGCCGAGGGUACUCCCGGGGUAGUGGUAAAAUGCUAUAAUCCUGGGGGGACCACCAAUAGCGAAAGCACUCGGCUUGGACGGGCCCGACGGUGAGGGACGAAGGCCAGGGGAGCGAACCGGAUUAGAUACCCCGGUAGUCC